GACCGCGUAGCUCAGUUGGAAGAGCAUUGGGCUAGUAUUCCAAAGGUCGUAGGUUCGAUUUCCACCGUGGUCA
Molecule: non-coding RNA, 73 nt
Organism: Paramuricea clavata
Lineage: Eukaryota; Metazoa; Cnidaria; Anthozoa; Malacalcyonacea; Plexauridae
Source: the annotation of a GenBank genome assembly